GUGGGGAUGAUGACUACCACAGGGCCAUUAGGCUCGGCACCGGCCAGACAGCCUACGGAUGGGUCUCAGGGCCAUAGACAGCCUUCGGGUGGGUCUCUUCAGAUUUGACUUGAGUAUUCAUUAUGACAUGUGGACAGAUGAUGACUUAGUGUACUACUUGGACAUCGACUAGAAUAGUAAACAACGGAACUUUACUAUUUCGCAUUGUGGACAUUAUGAUAGUUGGAGACUUUUACUGCAUGCGUAGUUGGUUUCAUACUUAUGCUAUUUAUACUAAGUUGAGAUAUCAUGUUGUAGUAAGUUACGUAUUUACUUGCCUUUCGCUUACCUACAUUUAUAGUCACUGACAUCUAUUGUAGCUUUGGGCCUUGUGGUGCAUUCACUGAAGUCAGUAAUUGCCCACUGGGAACUAUUCUUAAUAGUUCUCACGCCCCUGUUUUAUGGUUUACUUUUCAGAGCCUUCGGCACCGGCGGAGGCACGGGAUCGCGGCAAGGGGAUCGCGUAGCUAGCUAGCGAGGAGCGGUACUUUGCUUAGGUGGUUUACUCUUUCUUUUUGUACUUGAGAGAGAGAGAGAGAUUUUUGUAUUCCUGUAUAGAGACCACCUAUGUAUUUACCUUUAGUACUUGUGAUGGGAUCCCUAUUGUUCUUACUUUAUGCUUUAUUUAGUGGAUUUAAAGUUUCAUUCUUACUUCUUGUUGUAGCAUUUAGACAUUCUUUAUGCUCUGAUACUCCUAGAUGUCUUUUAUUAUUGCUUUUAUUAUUGUUGUUGUUAGACGCCUUAUGCGUUUUAGACGCAUGGCGGGUCUGGGCACGUGCCGGGCGGGCUUCCGCUGGGUCCCGGGG
RNAcentral lists this long non-coding RNA (845 nucleotides) under Ananas comosus (pineapple). RNAcentral describes it as "long non-coding RNA (ACOM_LNC040638)". The record is from RNAcentral. Lineage: Eukaryota; Viridiplantae; Streptophyta; Magnoliopsida; Poales; Bromeliaceae.